This is a long non-coding RNA of Corvus hawaiiensis (hawaiian crow), 2257 nucleotides long. RefSeq lists it as uncharacterized. The record is from RefSeq and is a predicted model, not a curated record. Lineage: Eukaryota; Metazoa; Chordata; Aves; Passeriformes; Corvidae. The transcript is spliced from 2 exons.
GCGCACCGGGGCGCAGCGAACGUGCAGGGGCACAGCGGGCGCGCCGGGAGUACCGGGGCACAGCGAGCGUACAGGGGCACAGCGGGCGUACCCGGAGUACCGGGGCACAGCGAGCGUACAGGGGCACAGGCCGGCGAUGGAGCCGGGAGUACCGGGGCACAGCGAGCGUACAGGGGCACAGGCCGGCGAUGGAGCCGGGAGUACCGGGGCACAGCGAGCGUACAGGGGCACAGAGCUCCGCGCUGCCGCCGCCCGCCCCGAAAGCAGCACUCCCCGGGCAGCGCGGCCGUUCCCUGCCGCUCCCGCCGGCCAGCCCCGCUCCAGAGGCACCGGGCGCCUUCGGAGAGGCCGCGGGGCCCCAAAUUACCUUGGACAAGAGGAGGCUCGGGUGUGACCUUACUGCUCUCUACAACUACCUGAAAGAAGGAAAAAAAUUGCACAUUUGAAGGUGGGUGAACCAAAAAUCAUUUUUCAUGCAAGUUUCUUUCUUCCAGAAUGAAUAUGCUGAAAUGAUUGUUAAGGUAAUGUUGAAAAUGUUAAUACUGUUACACUUCAAUCCUCCAAAAUGUUUUCUGUAACUAAUAUUAUAUGAAGGUUAUUUCAUUUGAUGGAUUAUGUGCCCUAAACAUUGUGCUGUAAUACAUUACAGUGAAUAAAUACAGGGAUGUUGUGUUCUUUUUCCAAGCUUUCUCUGUACAAACAUGCAUCAUAUAUCUGCAUGAUGGCAGUUGUUCUCUGUUUACAUAUUAUUUCUGAGCCCUGCAGACAUAACUUCCCUUUUUAUUUACAAGUUCAUGGUACUGAUGCUUUCCAGUUUAACAAUCAUUCUUUCUCUCCUUUAGAGAUUGUUUUUAGGAGACAGACACAGAUACACCUUAGUAUAAUGCAUUAAUACUGCGCAUGUUUGUCAUUACACAAAAUUUUGAAAAAAUAUGUAGUUGUUUAUUUUGUAAACAAAUCAAGUUAUAUUUUUGUAUGUUAAAGGUCUCAUGCCUAAAAAUAUAUGUAAUGUUUCAAUAAUCAGGUAAUGACUAUGGAUAUUUCACCCAUUCUCCUAAUUUCAGUCUUUUGUAGGGUUAAUUUUCAGGCUUCUAACUUACGGUUCUGGAUUGUCAGUAUCCAGAGGUUUUGCUUAUUUUAAUUAUUUCAAAUUCUUCCCUCCCCUAAGCUGUAUGUCUUCUACCAAAGUGUAAAAAAAUAGUGCCUACAAAAGUGUUUGUGGGACAAAAAUUUUGCUUAAAGUUGGAAAGGUGUGCUCUCCCACCUGAUAUGAGGACUGCCAGGAAAUAAGCGGGGGGAUAUUGAGGGAGAAUGAAAAUAUGGAAGAUUUACUUAAAACUGGACCUAAGAAGUCCUAAUAAAAUUAAGUUACACAAAACAUAUAGAACCUUUGGGAUUUUUUUUCCCACCAAUUUAAUUCUCUUCCUAUCUUAUUUCAGCACAGCUUCCAGUGGUUUUGAUUGCUUCAGCUCCUGCCUGCCUUGCAUAGGAUAUAAGUGAGCCAGGUUCUAUUGUCAUCUGCUUGUAAAACAUGGAAAAUACACAUUAAAUCAAAGGAGCUGAUUUAGAUUUGCACUCUGAAACUGAGUUGGGGACAUGGAAGCAUGCUUUGGCUCUGUUCUCUCUUAGCUUGAAUCCUCUGGUGGUAAAUCUAUGUUUUGAUUUCUCCUGAGGCCUUUGGAAUUUCUUUACACAGCACUCCUCCACAGACAGAAGACACUACAGAUGUGAUUGCUGUGACCAUCUUCCUGUUCUUUCUACCCUGCCUCCUGUAUUUACUGUCCUUGAAGCAGCAUGAGAUCCUGCAUAUUCAUUUUCUUUGCUUCUUCCUGUCACUCCUGGUGCUUCCCUGUAAUCUAGAACUAACUCAUGUCACCCAAUGUUUAGAUGUGUGUGCUCUACAGCCUCUCAUCCUGGACACUUUCUCUUCUCCUUCCUUCUAACCAUCUCAUCAUCUUCUCCAUCCCUUUUUUUUUCUCCAUCCCACCUGAAAGAAUUCCUCACCCUUCUUUGUGUUUUCACCCUCUUAAAUGGCAUUGAUCCUUAUCACAUUUGCCUUUAUCUGACCUGUAAUUUUCUCUUUCAGUUUCUUGCUUUUCAUCUUACUUCGUAAGACCAAGCCACGUCAGCUAAUUGCUGUAUUGCUCCUUCAGCCCAAGUGCCUGCAGAGCACUAUAUCACUAAUAAAGUCGAGGCAAAUGGACUACAGAAGAAAAAUCUUGGUAUUUGUUUGUUCAUUAAAACACACACAAACAUA